GAGUGUGAUCAUACCAGCACUAAUAUACCAGAUUUCAUCAGAAUUAUAUAGUCAAACGUGUUUGGGCGAAAGUAAUACUAGGAUGGAUAACCUUUUGGGACGUUUUCGUAUUACAUUUU
Gossypium hirsutum (cotton) is the source of this 119-nucleotide non-coding RNA. NCBI's taxonomy places the organism in Eukaryota, Viridiplantae, Streptophyta, Magnoliopsida, Malvales, Malvaceae. The record is from Rfam.